Molecule: long non-coding RNA, 559 nt
Organism: Danio aesculapii
Lineage: Eukaryota; Metazoa; Chordata; Actinopteri; Cypriniformes; Danionidae
Exons: 3
Source: RefSeq, a predicted model, not a curated record
GAAAACUUUCGCAGUGUUUUCCCACUAAAGAGGAGCAGUUUAUUGAGGCAGAUUUUGCUAAAGAGAAUGGGUGCCAUACAUCAGACCUCACAUUAAAUCAGGGAUGAAACGAGAGAUGUCGUCCUCUGUUGCUGGUUUAUCUGUAUGAAUAAGAUGAAGAGCUCAUCCAGUAGUGCAAUUGUGGGAAUGCACAGAGAAUUGCUGUCUGUCAGAGGGAUGACCAACCAUGAGGACUUCUGCAUUGUCUUGGAGGAUAAGUGAGUCAUGGCUAGCCUGGAAAAUCUAGAAUCGCUGAACUGGAUUUAUACAAAUAUUCCACAAAUUAAAAUCACUUACAAAGAAACGAAUAAUAAGUUUGCAAUACACAAAUUCUGUCAAAUAUUGUCUAAAAUGUGACUAUUCCUACAAAGGAAAGUUGACAGGUCAGUUUUUUCCAUGACAUGGAUAAAGGAAUUUUUAUCAGAGAUUAGCAUUGCUGUAAAUUUUAUAUAGAUUUGUUUAACAUAUUGUACCAUUUUGUUAUCAGUGUAACAUGUAAUAAAAUGAUAUUUGGCCUAAA